AACCUCUUCUUAUGCCCCUAAAAGGGUCCAAUUAAAGCCAACUAUAAAAGGAUUCCGUACUGGCUGGACUUUGUCGUUGGAGCAUACCACUAAUUGUCUUUUCAUUUUAGUUGAAAACUAUUAGAAGUUGGAUCAGCUGCCUCUUUGGGAAUUACCCUUUGUACCCAUUACGAUUGAUAUCUUGAAUGGCUGGAUCUUUGAUGCACUAUUAGAAGUUGGAAGAAGACUGAGUCAGAAGCCGCGACACUAAAAAAU
Molecule: unclassified non-coding RNA, 255 nt
Filed under: Hevea brasiliensis (rubber tree)
Lineage: Eukaryota; Viridiplantae; Streptophyta; Magnoliopsida; Malpighiales; Euphorbiaceae
Source: RNAcentral